This 382-nucleotide unclassified non-coding RNA is filed under the name Hevea brasiliensis (rubber tree). Lineage: Eukaryota; Viridiplantae; Streptophyta; Magnoliopsida; Malpighiales; Euphorbiaceae. The record is from RNAcentral.
UUUUUCGGUCGCACAGUAGUAGCUGAGAAGGGUAUUAAACAAAUACUUGCUAAAUAUACUUCUUGAAUGUCUUCUCAAAGAAAAACAAUGUAAACAAAAGGGCAAAAACAUUAAUAUAACAGAAGCAUGCAUGACAAGGAGAUAUAGCUAAUAUUACAUUAAGCAGACUUUCAAAAUUAAGAUGCUGAUGUGUUGGUAUUUAAUAUAGGCCAGCAUUUAAUGAAGGAAAACUGUCUAAAAAAGAUCCAAGAGGCUGCAGCUUCAAGUACACCAAAAUUAUCCAUAUGGCUGAAACAUUCAGUCUAGGAACUCAUACACUUACCAUUAAUAACCAUAAUUAUAUGUAUGGUUGCAUUACCUUGGAGUUUUGGCUGUGAAACUG